AAAAUUGGACAUUUUAUUAUGCAAGUUUAAGGCAAAUUAUAUAAAAAAUUAAUUUUUAAGCAAAUUCAAGGGCAAAUUGAGCCUUAUUCCAAGGAACAAAUUACUAUAAACAAGCAAUAAUAUAUACCUAUUACCCGACAUUAGCGAAGGGGAAAAAACACCUUCAACAUUAUAACUAUAAUGUGGCAACUGAAUAAAGAAUAGUAAAAAUAAAUAUGAUAAGGCUAUAGAUUGAGGAGUAAAUUAAUUGGCAAUCCAAAUGGACUUUGCACCAUAAACCCAAGGGAGGUAUCAAAAUCCCAAUGAAUUAUAUCAUUACAUAAUAUUAUUAAAACACCACAUUGAGCAAGCACAUAGCUAUAAUUCAAACACCUUGAAUGAGUUCUUAGAUAUCUGAUGGAGCUGCCAUGCCAGCUAACUUCAUAAAUCUGCAAAAAUUGCAAAAAUAUCGCCAUGGAUAUAAUCAUUAUCUACCAAGCUAACCAAAAAGUAGUUGUCCUGCACCUGCAAAUAUUAACAUGUAACAUUUUGUCAAUUACUAAAAAAAAAAAUUUUUUUUUUUUUUUUUUUUUUUUUUUUUGAAAAGAUCUUAAAAAACACAAGAUACCUCUUCAAGCAACUUUCUGGAUGGAUCACCCUCUGGGUAUAAUGAAGCCCAUCCUCUAGACCAGAUUUCAAAUGCCUCAUCCUUCCAUACAUUGAAGCUGGCCGGAUCAACAACAGUGGGUUGGAUAAUCUGCUUUGCUGGGAAGACUCCCCAUGUCACUGCAUUCACAUCAUUUGGACCGACGUUGGAUACCACAGUUCCUGCCCUGUCCACAGCCAUGUAAGUCAAUUGAGGCCAAGCUUUGGACUUGUUAACAAGAUCUUGUAGCUUGAUCGGGGAGCAGAAAAACUCCAAAUAAGCUUUCUGAUAAACAUAUCCUCCUGGUCCUCCCCAACCUGCGGACAUAUCAAGCAAGGUGGAAAAGUGAGAGAUGUCCGAUGUUGUUUUCAUGCCUCCAAUUAAAAAAAAAAAAAAAAUCUAAAAUGUUAUUCUCUAAACAACUUUAGAAUCAGUACAUUUUCCACCAGAAAUGAAUCUCACACUGGUAAUAAUUUAUUUGAGAUAAAAAUUGGACAUUUUAUUAUGCAAGUUUAAGGCAAAUUAUAUAAAAAAUUAAUUUUUAAGCAAAUUCAAGGGCAAAUUGAGCCUUAUUCCAAGGAACAAAUUACUAUAAACAAGCAAUAAUAUAUACCUAUUACCCGACAUUAGCGAAGGGGAAAAAACACCUUCAACAUUAUAACUAUAAUGUGGCAACUGAAUAAAGAAUAGUAAAAAUAAAUAUGAUAAGGCUAUAGAUUGAGGAGUAAAUUAAUUGGCAAUCCAAAUGGACUUUGCACCAUAAACCCAAGGGAGGUAUCAAAAUCCCAAUGAAUUAUAUCAUUACAUAAUAUUAUUAAAACACCACAUUGAGCAAGCACAUAGCUAUAAUUCAAACACCUUGAAUGAGUUCUUAGAUAUCUGAUGGAGCUGCCAUGCCAGCUAACUUCAUAAAUCUGCAAAAAUUGCAAAAAUAUCGCCAUGGAUAUAAUCAUUAUCUACCAAGCUAACCAAAAAGUAGUUGUCCUGCACCUGCAAAUAUUAACAUGUAACAUUUUGUCAAUUACUAAAAAAAAAAAUUUUUUUUUUUUUUUUUUUUUUUUUUGAAAAGAUCUUAAAAAACACAAGAUACCUCUUCAAGCAACUUUCUGGAUGGAUCACCCUCUGGGUAUAAUGAAGCCCAUCCUCUAGACCAGAUUUCAAAUGCCUCAUCCUUCCAUACAUUGAAGCUGGCCGGAUCAACAACAGUGGGUUGGAUAAUCUGCUUUGCUGGGAAGACUCCCCAUGUCACUGCAUUCACAUCAUUUGGACCGACGUUGGAUACCACAGUUCCUGCCCUGUCCACAGCCAUGUAAGUCAAUUGAGGCCAAG
Molecule: long non-coding RNA, 1954 nt
Filed under: Jatropha curcas
Lineage: Eukaryota; Viridiplantae; Streptophyta; Magnoliopsida; Malpighiales; Euphorbiaceae
Description: long non-coding RNA (JCUR_LNC002398)
Source: RNAcentral